GGGGAAUAUUGCACAAUGGGCGAAAGCCUGAUGCAGCAACGCCGCGUGAGUGAUGAAGGUCUUCGGAUUGUAAAGCUCUGUCUUUUGGGACGAUAAUGACGGUACCAAAGGAGGAAGCCACGGCUAACUACGUGCCAGCAGCCGCGGUAAUACGUAGGUGGCGAGCGUUGUCCGGAUUUACUGGGCGUAAAGGGUGCGUAGGCGGAUGUUUAAGUGAGAUGUGAAAUACCCGGGCUUAACUUGGGUGCUGCAUUUCAAACUGGAUAUCUAGAGUGCAGGAGAGGAGAAUGGAAUUCCUAGUGUAGCGGUGAAAUGCGUAGAGAUUAGGAAGAACACCAGUGGCGAAGGCGAUUCUCUGGACUGUAACUGACGCUGAGGCACGAAAGCGUGGAUAGCAAACAGGAUUAGAUACCCUGGUAGUCCACGCCGUAAACGAUGAGUACUAGGUGUAGGAGGUAUCGACCCCUUCUGUGCCGCAGUAAACACAUUAAGUACUCCGCCUGGGAAGUACGAUCGCAAGAUUAAAAC
This 528-nucleotide ribosomal RNA is filed under the name uncultured bacterium. Its description in RNAcentral is "partial 16S ribosomal RNA". It matches the Rfam family "Bacterial small subunit ribosomal RNA", at positions 356 to 900 of the family's 1533-position model. The record is from RNAcentral.